CCUGCCUCUAGAAGUGUUGCCGGUAUGAAUGCUGUGUCAUAUGUGCCAUACAUAGUAGGUGACAGAGAGGAGAUAGGCUAUGUCUACAUUCAGUGUUCUGACCUAUGAUCAUCUGAAUGAUUCGUGACCUAACAUU
RNAcentral lists this small nucleolar RNA (136 nucleotides) under Mus pahari (shrew mouse). RNAcentral describes it as "snoRNA (MGP_PahariEiJ_G0034823.1)". It matches the Rfam family "Small nucleolar RNA SNORA17". From Rfam's summary of the family: snoRNA ACA 17 belongs to the H/ACA family of snoRNAs and is predicted to guide pseudouridylation of the 28S rRNA at positions U4659 and U4598. Lineage: Eukaryota; Metazoa; Chordata; Mammalia; Rodentia; Muridae. The record is from RNAcentral.